Molecule: ribosomal RNA, 254 nt
Filed under: uncultured bacterium
Lineage: Bacteria
Description: partial 16S ribosomal RNA
Rfam family: Bacterial small subunit ribosomal RNA
Source: RNAcentral
UACGUAGGUGGCAAGCGUUGUCCGGAUUUACUGGGCGUAAAGGAUGCGUAGGCGGUUCCGUAAGUCGUGAAGUCAAAUCUCUGGGCUCAACCCAGAAUCGCUUCCGAUACUGCGGUGACUGGAGUCCGGUAGGGGAGUGUGGAAUUCCUGGUGUAGCGGUGAAAUGCGCAGAUAUCAGGAGGAACACCAACAGCGAAGGCAGCACUCUGGGCCGGUACUGACGCUGAGGAGCGAAAGCAUGGGGAGCGAACAGG